GGGGGACAGGGAGUGCGGCGCAUAGCAAAGCACUGACGGAGGAUCUCCUUCCCUCCUCUCGCUCUUGCCAGCUCAUAUCGAGGCAAAGACACCCUGUUCCCGCAGGGGCUCAGAUGACACCCUGCCCCAGGCACCCCUCUGCCUUCCUCCCUCUGCAUCCAGCCUCCUGGUCCGAGGCCAACAUCCCGAUUGCGUUACCAGCCGCCCUGUUCCCCUCCAGCGCCGGCAGAUGGGAAGUUCAAGAGUGAGGGUAUUGAGAACUGUGGAGCUGGAGCUGUAAAUAACUGUGAAUAUGAGCAAAUCAGAGAUGUGGCUGCAGGGGAAGCGGUGCCACGGUGUGACCAAACUGGAGAGUGGGAGAGAAAACACAAGUUUGGGGCUGGGUCCCCAGACCCCUCCUUCCCUGCUGGCCCCUGGUCUGGGUGCUGUAUGCUGUUCUCCUUCCUCCUGGAUGCCAUCUGUACCUACGGAUUGAAGGGGCAGCCCAGAAAGCCAGCCAUGUCCUGGGCUGCAUCCCCAGAAAAGGAGCAGCAAGAGGGUAACUGUACAAAGCUCACAAGCAAAUUCCACACAGGAUUGCAGGAUGCUGCAAGCAUCACUGACAGCCGCUGUGAAGAGGCUGGGUCUGGGUUCGUUUCACAAGUGUGAAAUAAAUUUCAGAGCUCUCAUAUUCAAACCAGCCCAGUAAAUUGCCCUGAAUGAGCACCAAAUGUUGUCUUGUGUAGAGGAACCUGGCAGGCAGCUGAGAAGCCUUCAGGUAAGCAGGGAGAUGUGGGCUUGGGCCACAGAGAGCGGAGCUGACCUGACUCAGGGGCCAAACUUAUUGCUUGGGGGUUGUUUAGUAGUACAUAAUGGAUAUUUAAUAGUACACUGGAUGUGGAGGAGCUGGGGGACUGAGAUGAGCUGCAGCAGUUUGUCAAGCCCCACUCCAGGAUGGCAAUGAUGGGACCUCCAGGCUGGGUGAUUCGGAGCUGCUCUGGCUCCACUCCCCUGCUGAGCACAAGGCUGGGAGCAGCUUUAAUGGCUGAUGUGUGGCAGGAAGAAAAGCAAGAAAAAAGGGAGUUUCUCUUCUUAACACCGAAUGUGCUGUGGAUGAUCCAAGACCAAAGCACAGAGAACAUCAACAGCCAAACUGUGGAACUCCACAUUGCAGGAAUUAAGCAUCAUGCCCAGGGUGGACAGCUUGGGCUGAAAAGUUAAUCCCGAUGUAAUCAGAGGCAGUGUUGUAACAGCAAAAUUGUGGAGUCACAAGUCAGAGGGUGAGAUGCCACCAAUGCCAAGUCUUGCAGGAAUGGGACAGGAGUGAUAUGUGUAACAAUCUUCUGCCUCACGCUUAAAAGGAUGGAGCAAUACCCCGGGAGAGCUGGGGGAGGUUUCUCUGUCCACCCAACGAGGUGUUCGGCCUCGAGGAAC
Molecule: long non-coding RNA, 1413 nt
Organism: Lepidothrix coronata (blue-crowned manakin)
Lineage: Eukaryota; Metazoa; Chordata; Aves; Passeriformes; Pipridae
Exons: 4
Source: RefSeq, a predicted model, not a curated record